CACCAGGCGCGAAAACUAUACAAUGCAGGCAACUGCGAUAGGGGAACAUCGAGUGAUACUCAUAUUGGGGGUCUGUCCCACCGUCUAAAAAACGGUGGUUAGCAAGGGCCGGGCAAGUCCGGUGCCAGCCGCCGCGGUAAUUCCAGCGGCUCGAGUGGUGGCCGAUAUUAUUGAGUCUAAAGGGUCCGUAUCCGGCUAUGCAAGUUUCUCGGGAAAUCCAGCGGAUUAACCGAUGGUUGUCCGGGGGAUACUACAUUGCUUGGGACUGGGAGAGGUAGGAGGUACUCAGGGGGUAGGAGUGAAAUCCUGUAAUCCUCUGGGGACCACCAGUGGCGAAGGCGUCUUACCAGAACAGGUCUUUCGGUGAGGGAAGAAAGCUAGGGGCACGAACCGGAUUAGAUACCCGGGUAGUCCUAGCCGUAAACGAUGCUCGCUAGGUGUCACAACAGUUUUGAACCUCUCUAAAGCCGUAGG
RNAcentral lists this ribosomal RNA (474 nucleotides) under uncultured archaeon. RNAcentral describes it as "bacterial SSU rRNA". It matches the Rfam family "Archaeal small subunit ribosomal RNA", at positions 333 to 807 of the family's 1478-position model. The record is from RNAcentral.